This 539-nucleotide ribosomal RNA is filed under the name uncultured bacterium. RNAcentral describes it as "bacterial SSU rRNA". It matches the Rfam family "Bacterial small subunit ribosomal RNA", at positions 777 to 1315 of the family's 1533-position model. The record is from RNAcentral.
AAUAGAUACCCAGGUAGUCCACGCCCUAAACGAUGUCGACUGGUUGUUGGGGGUUUGACACUCUCAGUAACGAAGCUAACGCGUGAAGUCGACCGCCUGGGGAGUACGGCCGCAAGGUUAAAACUCAAAGGAAUUGACGGGGACCCGCACAAGCGGUGGAUUAUGUGGAUUAAUUCGAUGCAACGCGAAAAACCUUACCUACCCUUGACAUGUCCUGGAGCCCGCUGAGAGGUGGGUGUGCCCGAAAGGGAACGGGAACACAGGUGCUGCAUGGCUGUCGUCAGCUCGUGUCGUGAGAUGUUGGGUUAAGUCCCGCAACGAGCGCAACCCUUGUCAUUAGUUGCUACAUUUAGUUGAGCACUCUAAUGAGACUGCCGGUGACAAACCGGAGGAAGGUGGGGAUGACGUCAAGUCCUCAUGGCCCUUAUGAGUAGGGCUUCACACGUAAUACAAUGGCGCGUACAGAGGGCUGCGAAGGGGUAACCUGGAGCCAAUCCCUGAAAAGCGCGUCGUAGUCCGGAUUGCAGUCUGCAACUCGA